AGGUUAAGUUAAUAAGGGCGCACGGUGGAUGCCUUGGCACUAGGAGCCGACGAAGGACGUGACAAACGACGAUAUGCCUUGGGUAGCUGUAAGUAAGCGAUGAUCCAGGGAUUUCCGAAUGGGGGAACCCAACAGGUAAUACCUGUUACCUACAUCUGUUAAGGAUGUGAGGAGGAAGACGCAGUGAACUGAAACAUCUAAGUAACUGCAGGAAGAGAAAGCAAAAGCGAUUGCCUUAGUAGCGGCGAGCGAAACGGCAGAAGGGCAAACCGAAGAGUUUACUCUUCGGGGUUGUAGGACUGCAAUGUGGACUCAAAGAUUAUAGAAGAAUGAUUUGGGAAGAUCAGCCAAAGAGAGUAAUAGCCUCGUAUUUAAAAUAGUCUUUGUACUUAGCAGUAUCCUGAGUACGGCGGGACACGUGAAAUCCCGUCGGAAUCUGGGAGGACCAUCUCCCAACCCUAAAUACUCCCUAGUGACCGAUAGUGAACCAGUACCGUGAGGGAAAGGUGAAAAGCACCCCGGGAGGGGAGUGAAAUAGAACCUGAAACCGUGUGCCUACAACAAGUUCGAGCCCGUUAAUGGGUGAGAGCGUGCCUUUUGUAGAAUGAACCGGCGAGUUACGUUAUGAUGCGAGGUUAAGUUGAAGAGACGGAGCCGUAGGGAAACCGAGUCUGAAUAGGGCGCCUUAGUAUCAUGACGUAGACCCGAAACCAUGUGACCUACCCAUGAGCAGGUUGAAGGUGCGGUAAGACGCACUGGAGGACCGAACCAGGGCACGUUGAAAAGUGCUUGGAUGACUUGUGGGUAGCGGAGAAAUUCCAAACGAACUUGGAGAUAGCUGGUUCUCUCCGAAAUAGCUUUAGGGCUAGCGUCGACAUUAGAGAUUCUUGGAGGUAGAGCACUGUUUGGGUGAGGGGUCCAUCCCGGAUUACCAAUCUCAGAUAAACUCCGAAUGCCAAUGAAUUAUGGUCGGCAGUCAGACUGCGAGUGCUAAGAUCCGUAGUCGAAAGGGAAACAGCCCAGACCACCAGCUAAGGUCCCAAAAUAAUUGUUAAGUGGAAAAGGAUGUGGGGUUGCACAGACAACUAGGAUGUUAGCUUAGAAGCAGCUAUUCAUUCAAAGAGUGCGUAAUAGCUCACUAGUCGAGUGACCCUGCGCCGAAAAUGUACCGGGGCUAAAACAAUUUACCGAAGCUGUGGAUACCUUUAUAGGUAUGGUAGGAGAGCGUUCUAUGUGUGAUGAAGGUAUACCGUGAGGAGUGCUGGAACGCAUAGAAGUGAGAAUGCCGGUAUGAGUAGCGAAAGACAGGUGAGAAUCCUGUCCACCGUAAGACUAAGGUUUCCAGGGGAAGGCUCGUCCGCCCUGGGUUAGUCGGGACCUAAGGAGAGACCGAAAGGUGUAUCCGAUGGACAACAGGUUGAUAUUCCUGUACUAGAGUAUGUAGUGAUGGAGGGACGCAGUAGGCUAACUAAAGCAGACGAUUGGAAGAGUCUGUCUAAGCAGUGAGGUGUGAAUUGAGUCAAAUGCUUAAUUCUAUAACAUUGAGCUGUGAUGGGGAGCGAAGUUUAGUAGCGAAGUUAGUGACGUCACACUGCCAAGAAAAGCUUCUAGCGUUUAAACAUACUCUACCCGUACCGCAAACCGACACAGGUAGUCGAGGCGAGUAGCCUCAGGUGAGCGAGAGAACUCUCGUUAAGGAACUCGGCAAAAUGACCCCGUAACUUCGGGAGAAGGGGUGCUGACUUAAAGUCAGCCGCAGUGAAUAGGCCCAAGCAACUGUUUAUCAAAAACACAGCUCUCUGCUAAAUCGUAAGAUGAUGUAUAGGGGGUGACGCCUGCCCGGUGCUGGAAGGUUAAGAGGAGUGCUUAGCGUAAGCGAAGGUAUGAAUUGAAGCCCCAGUAAACGGCGGCCGUAACUAUAACGGUCCUAAGGUAGCGAAAUUCCUUGUCGGGUAAGUUCCGACCCGCACGAAAGGCGUAAUGAUUUGGGCACUGUCUCAACGAGAGACUCGGUGAAAUUUUAGUACCUGUGAAGAUGCAGGUUACCCGCGACAGGACGGAAAGACCCCAUGGAGCUUUACUGCAGUUUGAUAUUGAGUGUCUGUACCACAUGUACAGGAUAGGUAGGAGUCUAAGAGAUCGGGACGCCAGUUUCGAAGGAGACGCUGUUGGGAUACUACCCUUGUGUUAUGGCCACUCUAACCCAGAUAGGUGAUCCCUAUCGGAGACAGUGUCUGACGGGCAGUUUGACUGGGGCGGUCGCCUCCUAAAAGGUAACGGAGGCGCCCAAAGGUUCCCUCAGAAUGGUUGGAAAUCAUUCGCAGAGUGUAAAGGUAUAAGGGAGCUUGACUGCGAGAGCUACAACUCGAGCAGGGACGAAAGUCGGGCUUAGUGAUCCGGUGGUUCCGUAUGGAAGGGCCAUCGCUCAACGGAUAAAAGCUACCCUGGGGAUAACAGGCUUAUCUCCCCCAAGAGUUCACAUCGACGGGGAGGUUUGGCACCUCGAUGUCGGCUCGUCGCAUCCUGGGGCUGUAGUCGGUCCCAAGGGUUGGGCUGUUCGCCCAUUAAAGCGGCACGCGAGCUGGGUUCAGAACGUCGUGAGACAGUUCGGUCCCUAUCCGUCGCGGGCGUAGGAAAUUUGAGAGGAUCUGCUCCUAGUACGAGAGGACCAGAGUGGACUUACCGCUGGUGUACCAGUUGUCUUGCCAAAGGCAUCGCUGGGUAGCUAUGUAGGGAAGGGAUAAACGCUGAAAGCAUCUAAGUGUGAAACCCACCUCAAGAUGAGAUUUCCCAUGAUUAUAUAUCAGUAAGAGCCCUGAGAGAUGAUCAGGUAGAUAGGUUAGAAGUGGAAGUGUGGCGACACAUGUAGCGGACUAAUACUAAUAGCUCGAGGACUUAUCCAAA
RNAcentral lists this ribosomal RNA (2904 nucleotides) under Streptococcus pneumoniae. Its description in RNAcentral is "bacterial LSU rRNA". It matches the Rfam family "Bacterial large subunit ribosomal RNA". The record is from RNAcentral. Lineage: Bacteria; Bacillati; Bacillota; Bacilli; Lactobacillales; Streptococcaceae.